This 251-nucleotide long non-coding RNA is filed under the name Cavia porcellus (domestic guinea pig). RNAcentral describes it as "lncRNA (ENSCPOG00000037714.1)". Lineage: Eukaryota; Metazoa; Chordata; Mammalia; Rodentia; Caviidae. The record is from RNAcentral.
GACCUCUGCACUGUCUGGGGCUCUGUGCCCUCUCAUUGGCCAGUGGUGACUGACUGAAGAGCAGAGGCCUCGCUGUGGGCGGGACCAGGCCGCUUUGGCAGUCUGGUUCCUGUUGUACUGAGGAUUUGAGGAGGUGUUGUCCAUGUACUCAGUGCUGGGACAGGGUAUCAUUGCCUGCCAGUCCACCCCCUAGGAUGGAGCGAGGAAUAAAAUCAGAAACAUAAUCAGCAUUGAUGUGUGAUUGAUAGCUG